RNAcentral lists this unclassified non-coding RNA (5061 nucleotides) under Diabrotica virgifera virgifera (western corn rootworm). Its description in RNAcentral is "facilitated trehalose transporter Tret1-2 homolog". Lineage: Eukaryota; Metazoa; Arthropoda; Insecta; Coleoptera; Chrysomelidae. The record is from RNAcentral.
AUAAACGAUUAAUCAAAGUCAAAAUGUAAACGUCAUUCAGCUGAUAAUAAACAACAAAUUGAAUUUUUAAAAGAAAGGGUUGUUAUUUCGCAGAUAUUAAUAUAGGCUACAAGAAUUAUGAAUCAAGACAGAUAUUCUUUAAUAGACAAUACUGCCCAUUCUAGUAUAGUACAGGAAUCUGGCUAUGAAUCUACGGAACCCUCCAAUGAUAGACCUGCGAAAUUCCGUCAGUACCUUGCAGCCUUCUCAGCAACUUUGUCAGCUCUGGCUGCCGGUACCGUACUGGCAUGGACAUCUCCGAUUCUCAAUGACCUGGAAGCUGGCAAGUACAACAACAUCAAAUUAGACAGCAACCAAAUAGGAUGGAUCGGCUCGUUCGUAACAUUCGGUGGGAUGGCCAUGUGCAUACCAACAGGCUUUAUCUGUGACAUAAUAGGUCGUAAGAAAACUCUGCUGUUAUUAUGUGUUCCCUACACGAUAGGAUGGUUGCUCAUCAUAUUCGCCAACAACGUGCUGAUGCUGUAUUUCGGCAGACUAAUAACGGGAACUGCAGCUGGAGCUUGUUGUAUAGCAGCACCUUUGUACACAAGCGAAAUAGCCCACAAAACGCUGCGAGGUACUCUAAGCAGUUAUUUUCAACUGAUGGUUACCGUGGGAAUAUUUCUGGGUUAUUUACUAGGAAAAUACCUAAAUGCUCUAUAUUUUACAAUCUGGUGUGCUUGCGUUCCGUUCGUUUUCGUUGUUUUCUUUGUAUUCCAGCCUGAAUCACCCGUGUAUCUAUUAAAACGAGGACUCUUUAAUGACGCUAAGGGAGUUUUGACUAUCUUACGAGGUAGCGAGUACAAAGUCGAUGAAGAACUCAACGAAAUCGAAGGAUAUUUAAAGGAAAGUAGCCAAACAACCAUUUCCCUAACUGAAACUUUCAAACAAGGAUCUGUCAUUAAGGCUUUUAUUAUAUCUGCUUCUUUGAUGUUUUUCCAGCAGUUUAGCGGUGUUAACGCGGUUAUUCUGUACACCACAGAUAUCUUUAAGACGUCAGGAGUGCACUUGGAUCCAAAAAGUGCUUCUGUUAUGGUAGGAUUAUUUCAAGUUCUAGCUACUUUCGCGGCUUCUUUAGUUAUAGAUAAACUUGGUAGAAGAAUAUUGUUGUUUAUAUCGGCGUUGUUUGUUACCGUAAACCUAUUUCUUCUUGCUAUUUUCUUCACUCUGAAAGACAGAACCGAUAUAAGCGACAAUAUUAUUGAAAAAUUAGGAUUUAUACCAGUAGGAGCCUUAUGCCUGUUUAUAAUAGCUUAUUCUCUUGGAUUGGGACCAAUUCCGUGGGUGAUAUCAUCUGAGAUAUUUCCUACUGAGAUUAAGAGUGUUACUAGUUCUACAGCAGGUACCGUUAAUUGGUUUUUGGCUUUUAUCCUUACGAGGUUUUAUCUUCAAAUAUCCAAUUAUAUAGGGCAAGAUAGUACAUUCUAUAUUUUUGGAUCUGCCUCGAUGAUAGGAAUAUUCUUCGUCUAUAUUUUCGUUCCGGAAACUAAAGGUAAAAACAUUUUGGAAAUACAGGCUGCCUUGAAUAACAAUCAGUAAACUCGUGACUUUUAUGGAGUGUCAAAAACAUGCAUUGUGUACGUGGAAAAAUGUUACCAUAGUAUUCUUACCACAUUUAUUUUGGUAAAUGUCAAUGAGCAACCAUGAAGCAUAUUUUCUUGAUUUGACAAUGGCUUUCGAUAAGAAAAUUAUGCUACAAUGUAUGUUUGCCCAAUAUAUCCACCCACCAAACAAAUACAGCCUACAAACGAAACAGAAACAAUAUUCUGACCAACUUAUGAUCAUAAGAUCAAUAAAUAAGUCAAAAUAUAGGGUUGUAUGGUUUUGGCUGUUUUAAUAUCGUUACAUCUACCUACAUAACCCUUCUUUGUUCGCCGUCUAAGGUAUCAGUAAGCGCCGAUUAAAGCUCAAAGUAUCGACCGCAAGAGAGUUUAUAACGGAUUAUCAUUGCUGUACAAUCCUAUUUGAGCCUCGACCUUUCUAAGUCUGUUUCUCCUUCUUCUAAAGGUGCCUAUCUCCUAGUGGUGUUGGCGACCACAUUGGCCCAUCUUAUUCUAUUCACACCAGCUCGAAAUGGAUCAGUUGACGUAAACCAGUCACCUUCCUAGGGACAGGACCUCACUUGCCCUCAAUCUUGCCUUUUAGAAUCAACUCUAGAAGUCGAUAUUUACUAUUACGCAUUACGCAUAAUGUGGUCAAAGUAAACCAAUUUUCUAUUCUUUUCUAUUCUAUAAUUUCUUUGUUUUUUUCUUAGCCUCUGGAGAAUAAUUUGUAAACUGUUUCUCCAAUCCGUUCUAUUCCUUGAAGCUUGGUGUCAGUUUGCCUCACCAAUUUUUCUCGAAUUCUUAUCCUGACCAUUCAUCUUUAGUCUACCUCUCUCAUUAAUUUACAGUUUUUUUCUAUUAUGGCUAGUUGGUACUAAUUUAGUUCUGCUGUCCUUUUUAGCUCGUCUUAUCAUCUUUCUUGCGGUCUUCCUACGAUUCUUCUUUCUCCCCAUGGUCUCUACCUAGUUACAUUUCCACUCCAGCUUUCGUACAGUUAUAUUUAUUUGUGUGUACUCAAUUGUGUUCGUUUUCCCUGCUUUUAUAAGUUAUCUUCUCUCUUCUAGAAGUUGUUUUGUUUUUAGGUAGAGUUUGUCACUGCUCUGUGUUCUGUUACCUGCUCAAAUGCAUUAAGAAACUAUAAAUACUUUGUCGUUAUUUGACGCACAUUCCGAAAUUCGAGUGAAUAAGUAAGCAAGAGUUGAAAUAUUUAAAAGCUCGACUAUCAGAUCUGUAUUUCUGUUUAAGUGUAAUUUUAGAAUUGGAUGCAUACUUUUUAAUCCUUCAAAUAUUGAGAAUGUUUAACCAUGUUUUAUAUUAUUAAUACGUAAUUCAUUGAUAUUUUUCUGUUGAUAUGUUCUUAUACUUUAUAACGAAGAAGUUUCUAUUUAUAUUAAAUUUACAUUCAAGAUGCAGUAGAAAUAAACAAACCAAGACACGUUAAGUGCUACUAGGAGCACACCCGAAUCAUAAUCUACAAUGUAUAAACCUUGGAAAUCAUGAUUUGGGGUUUACAAUGCAUAUACAUUGUAAAUUAUGAUUCGGGAGUGCUCCUAGUAGCAUUUAACGUGUCUUGUUUUGUUUAUUUCUACUGCAUCUUUAUUCUAAAUUUAGUAUAGUUCUAAAUAAAAGGUUUUAGAUAUAUUUUAAGUUCUUUGUAAUGUUAGUUUUGUAAAAAGAUAUUUACACAUGCAGCGACUGUGAUAAAGCAGCCCCUAGACGCUUAAUUUUGUCCACGAUAAUUGGUAAUUAAAAAUUGAAUGGGUUGCAUGUGUGAGUUCAUACUACAUAAGUAGUUAAAUAAAUAACGGACGUUCUCACAAUCAUUUAUUUACUCCGUGUCUCCGGAUAAUUUACUUCUACCGGAGACCUGAUGAUGCUGUGAAAUCUGUAGACAGCGAAACCGGCCGUCCUAAGUAAAUAAAUGAUUGUGAGAACGUCUGUUAUCCCUUUACCUACUGAAUUGGUAAUCAAUUUGUAGUUGAGUCUUAAACAACCACAGUGUAAAUGGUACUCUGUAAGUAUGCGGUAAGAAGAACUUGUAGCAAUUACCAUCUAUGAAUUUUAUCUGGUUUUUUAGUCAUUCUUUUAAAUCUUCAUUUCCCUGGUUGGUUGAAGAGUUCCUUUAAUUCCUAUGAUUAGAACUCGAUGCUAAACGCUAAUGGACCAGGUAUACAUCUGGGUCGGGACUGUGUAACGUUUAAAAAAUCCGGUUGUGUAUCUUGUCCAUUUUUUGUAUUUGAAAAUAUUUUUUAGAGAGUUUUCUUACACAAAACUCAAUUAUUAUUAUUUAUGAUAAUAUAGACGUCUAUAGGCUGCUUUAGAUUUACAUAUUAACAAGUUUUUGUAUCUAACUCCAACUAGUCCAGGUUGUCGUACUGCUCCUGUGGAAAAAUGUUCUGAUUCGGUUUUUUUGCUGAUUCCUGUUCAAAAAUAAUUCCUUUAAACAAAUCUUGAGGGUUUUUGGGCAGAAAUUGUAUAUCUAAUCGUAACAAUGAUGAUUUCAUAAGUGGUAAUGAUGAAGUUAAUGUAACAUUUCAUUUGUAAAUAUAAUUUUAACUUCAUUAUAUUGAAUACUACCUCUGUAACAUUGUGAUGUUUUUUGUAUAUUUUUGUUAAAAUAUCUCUACUUUUAUUAUAUCUACUUACUAAUUUAAUUAACUAGUUUUUAGUUAAUAGAUAAAUCUGUACCUCGGAGGGAUACAACACUAUGUCCAUUUUUUUUUAAUUUAUGACAUUUUUACACACUAAUAAUCAACUUUUACCAUUUUAUUUAGAGGAAUAAAGCACUAGGUCCUAAACCAUUUGCUGAUUGAGAUAGUGACAUUUAAAAGAAGAUCCUAAUAGAAGAAAAGAAGAUAAAAGCCAAGUCCAUUUGUCCCUAUUGUUGAAAAAAGUUUAAAACUGCUGUUCUGUAAAGUUAUGAAAAUGGACAUAGAGUUGUAUCCCUCUGAAAUACAGCAAUAUAUUAAAUUUAACUUAGGGCCGGUUUCACCAACAACAAAUAAAUUGGGGAAUAGUUAUUAGUCGAAUAAAAUUUAUUAGUCGAUUAUAUUUUUAUUGUUUCAAUACAAUUUUGAUAAUUUAAAGUUAAACUGACGAAUUGCCUUUGUUAUAGAUAUUUAAAGCGAGAAAGUCAAUUUAAUCGAAGAGUAAAUAUUUAUUUGGUAAAAAAUAAAGUAAGUCUUAUUUGAUGUUUGUGAAACGUAGAUCUCACAGUUUUAUUGGUCGAAUAACUUUAUUCAUCGAAUAAACUACUAUUCGGCGUUGGUGAAACCGGCCAUUAGUUAUUUAAUUUCCAAUUCGACAUUGUUUUUUAAAACAAGUUUGUGAUUUUGGUUCUCUUCUUUUUAAGUGCCGUCUCCUAAUCGGAGGUGGGAUAUCAUCAUCACUAUCUUUACUAUAUCUACCGCUGCUCUAAAUAGUUCUAUAGAACUACAUUUAAACCAGUCCCUUAAAUUCUUCAACCAUGACACUCUCC